AUCUAUAUUUUGUAAUAUUAUAUGGAAGUAAAUUUAAACACAGGCUUUAUGAUGGUCUAUUAGGAGAAGUCCAGCUACCUGUUCCACAUGCUGGCAGUUUACACAGUUAAUUAAUUUCGUGCAACAUAGAUGUUCUGCUGUUUCAGUUUAGCAGACUUUAGAACCCACAUUAAAGAUACUCUGAGAUCUUUAUUUCCUUUCAGGGAAAAAGAAGAAAGUAGAAAUUACAUUUGGUUGGAUGAACACCCAAAUGAGUGCGAGCCUUUGUUUUAGCUGUUUGAGGCAGAGUGGUUGAAGAUGGAAGAUUGGAAGCUUGGAAGAUUCAUGUAAGAUUCAAGAUCACAGACAGUAGAAGAGGCUUGGCAAGUCAGAUGUAAUCCCGAAGUGACUCUGUCAUUUCACUCCUUCAGUUUUACCUGAAAUGCUACUGAGAGAGAAGGGACAACUGAGGCUGCUGCUGCUGCUGACAA
Long non-coding RNA from Pseudopipra pipra, 470 nucleotides. RefSeq lists it as uncharacterized. The record is from RefSeq and is a predicted model, not a curated record. The transcript has 3 exons. Lineage: Eukaryota; Metazoa; Chordata; Aves; Passeriformes; Pipridae.